Long non-coding RNA from Capra hircus (goat), 943 nucleotides. The record is from Ensembl. Lineage: Eukaryota; Metazoa; Chordata; Mammalia; Artiodactyla; Bovidae.
UUAGCGUCACCUGGGAGGUCUGUAAAAACACAGAUUGCUGCCUGGAUCCCCACGUUUCUGACGUAGUUUGUCUGCUACGGAGCCCAGAAGCUGACCUUCCUGACAACUCCCCCAAAAGGGGCUGUUGCUGCUGGUCUGGCCACCACCCUUGAAGAGUCGCUGCUUUAAUAUGCAUACCAGAGAUACAGCACUUGAAGAAUGAUUGCUCGAGAGAGAUGGGAAAAGACCAGAGGGUGUGUUUGAUCCAGAGAAAGAGAAUGGGCAAAUUUGAGAGGAGCUUAUCUGCACUGGAGAUGACAGGAAAACAGCUUUAUAAACCAUUGUUAUAUGCUGGUAAGGAGGAUGCGCGAUUUAUACUUCAAAAGGAGGCUCCUGGAAGAACAGCCCCAAGACUGUCUCAGGAGAGGGUGGCCCUGACUGGAGGACAACAUCUCCCACGGGGCAGGAGGAGAGAAGGUGGGUGAGUUACGCGGUGACCCUGCUUUCUAUAGAGCGCUCAGAGCUCCUGUCUCCAUGAAUCACAAUUGAUUUUUUAACACAGACAGAUUUCAUCUUGAUCGAUCUUAGACAAUGUUGAAAUUAAUGCUCUCUAAAAUCUAGGCAACUGUAUCUUUGUCCUUGCGUCUGUGAAAUUCCAUGAGAAAAGUGUUCAGAAAGAACUUCAUUCAGUGAAAGAUGUGGAGAGUUUUGGAAAUGCUCAAACAAAACCUGUUGAAUUUCUAUGAACCCCCAAAACCUGUUGAAUUUCUAUGAACCCCCAGUGAAGAAAACAUGAAGAACAGGGGUUUCGAAAGAAAAAUUUUCCACAUUAUUUCACAGGUCCUCCUUCCUUUCUGAAAGUUGCUUGUUUGCUUUCAUAAAUAAUACUUUCUCCAGCUGGCACACUUAAACAGGAUCCAUUGAAAUAAAUUUCAUGGGACAUUGAGCAAUUCCAGUCCUUUUC